ACUCAAAUGAAUAGACGGGGGCCCGCACAAGCGGUGGAUCAUGUGGUUUAAUUCGACGCAACGCGAAGAACCUUACCUGGGCUUGAAGUGCUAGUAGUAGUUUCCCGGAAACGGGGAACGAACCGUCAAGUCGGUUGCUAGCAGAGGUGCUGCAUGGCUGUCGUCAGCUCGUGUCGUGAGAUGUUGGGUUAAGUCCCGCAACGAGCGCAACCCUUAUUCCAUGUUGCUAACCCCGCAAGGGGUGCACUCUUGGAAGACUGCCUCGGAUAACGGGGAGGAAGGUGGGGACGACGUCAAGUCAUCAUGGCCUUUAUGUCCAGGGCUACACACGUGAUACAAUGGCCGGCACAGCAGGAUGCAAUACCGCAAGGUGGAGCAAAUCCCUAAAACCGGCCCCAGUUCAGAUUGUGGGCUGCAAUUCGCCCACAUGAAGUCGGAAUCGCUAGUAAUCGCAGAUCAGCAGGCUGCGGUGAAUACGUUCCCGGGCCUUGUACACACCGCCCGU
This 505-nucleotide ribosomal RNA is filed under the name uncultured bacterium. RNAcentral's name for it is "partial 16S ribosomal RNA". It matches the Rfam family "Bacterial small subunit ribosomal RNA", at positions 899 to 1397 of the family's 1533-position model. The record is from RNAcentral.